CCUACGGGAGGCAGCAGUGGGGAAUCUUAGACAAUGGGGGCAACCCUGAUCUAGCCAUGCCGCGUGAGUGAUGAAGGCCUUAGGGUUGUAAAGCUCUUUCAGCUGGGAAGAUAAUGACGGUACCAGCAGAAGAAGCCCCGGCUAACUCCGUGC
Molecule: ribosomal RNA, 153 nt
Filed under: uncultured bacterium
Lineage: Bacteria
Description: partial 16S ribosomal RNA
Rfam family: Bacterial small subunit ribosomal RNA
Source: RNAcentral